UGUGCACCGGUGGGGUCCCUUGGCCUGGCCUGCGCCUUCUUGCAAUCCAGGACCACUCAAGGGAUGUCGGAGACCCGUUUUAGACCAAUCCUGCAGGCCAGGCCAAGGGACCCCACUGGUGCACA
This 125-nucleotide microRNA precursor is filed under the name Myotis brandtii (Brandt's bat). RNAcentral describes it as "mir-9193 microRNA precursor family". It matches the Rfam family "mir-9193 microRNA precursor family". The record is from Rfam by way of RNAcentral. Lineage: Eukaryota; Metazoa; Chordata; Mammalia; Chiroptera; Vespertilionidae.